AGAGUUUGAUCAGGGCUCAGGACGAACGCUGGCGGCGUGCUUAACACAUGCAAGUCGAGCGGUAAGGCCCCUUCGGGGGUACACGAGCGGCGAACGGGUGAGUAACACGUGGGUGACCUGCCCUCAGCUCUGGGAUAAGCCCGGGAAACUGGGUCUAAUACCGGAUAUGACCUGCUGUUGCAUGACAGCGGGUGGAAAGUUUUUUCGGCUGGGGAUGGGCCCGCGGCCUAUCAGCUUGUUGGUGGGGUGAUGGCCUACCAAGGCGACGACGGGUAGCCGGCCUGAGAGGGCGACCGGCCACACUGGGACUGAGAUACGGCCCAGACUCCUACGGGAGGCAGCAGUGGGGAAUAUUGCGCAAUGGGCGAAAGCCUGACGCAGCGACGCCGCGUGGGGGAUGACGGCCUUCGGGUUGUAAACCUCUUUCGACCGGGACGAAGGGAAACUGACGGUACCGGUAGAAAAAGCGCCGGCUAAACUACGUGCCAGCAGCCGCGGUAAUACGUAGGGGCGCAAGCGUUAUCCGGAAUUAUUGGGCGUAAAGAGCUCGUAGGCGGUUUGUCGCGUCUGCUGUGAAAACCCGAGGCUCAACCUCGGGCCUGCAGUGGGUACGGGCAGACUAGAGUGCGGUAGGGAGAUUGGAAUUCCUGUGUAGCGGUGGAAUGCGCAGAUAUCAGGAGGAACACCGAUGGCGAAGGCAGAUCUCUGGGCCGUAACUGACGCUGAGGAGCGAAAGGGUGGGGAGCAAACAGGCUUAGAUACCCUGGUAGUCCACCCCGUAAACGUUGGGAACUAGUUGUGGGGUCCAUUCCACGGAUUCCGUGACGCAGCUAACGCAUUAAGUUCCCCGCCUGGGGAGUACGGCCGCAAGGCUAAACUCAAAGGAAUUGACGGGACCCGCACAAGCGGCGGAGCAUGCGGAUUAAUUCGAUGCAACGCGAAGAACCUUACCAAGGCUUGACAUACACGGGAACGCCGUAGAAAUACGGAACUCUUUGGACACUCGUGUACAGGUGGUGCAUGGUUGUCGUCAGCUCGUGUCGUGAGAUGUUGGGUUAAGUCCCGCAACGAGCGCAACCCUCGUUCUAUGUUGCCAGCACGUAAUGGUGGGAACUCAUGGGAUACUGCCGGGGUCAACUCGGAGGAAGGUGGGGAUGACGUCAAAUCAUCAUGCCCCUUAUGUCUUGGGCUUCACGCAUGCUACAAUGGCCGGUACAAAGGGCUGCAAUACCGUGAGGUGGAGCGAAUCCCAAAAAGCCGGUCCCAGUUCGGAUUGAGGUCUGCAACUCGACCUCAUGAAGUCGGAGUCGCUAGUAAUCGCAGAUCAGCAACGCUGCGGUGAAUACGUUCCCGGGUCUUGUACACACCGCCCGUCA
This 1376-nucleotide ribosomal RNA is filed under the name uncultured bacterium. Its description in RNAcentral is "16S ribosomal RNA". It matches the Rfam family "Bacterial small subunit ribosomal RNA". The record is from RNAcentral.